UACGUAGGGACCAAGCGUUGUCCGGAUUUAUUGGGCGUAAAGAGCUCGUAGGCGGCCCUCCACGUCGGAUGUGAAAGCUCAGGGCUCAACCCUGAGAUGCCAUUCGAUACGGGAAGGCUAGAGGUAGGUAGGGGAAAGUGGAAUUCCAGGUGUAGCGGUGAAAUGCGUAGAUAUCUGGAGGAACACCCGUGGCGAAGGCGGCUCUCUGGGACGGUACUGACGCUGAGACGCGAAAGCGUGGGGAGCGAACAGG
This 253-nucleotide ribosomal RNA is filed under the name uncultured bacterium. Its description in RNAcentral is "partial 16S ribosomal RNA". It matches the Rfam family "Bacterial small subunit ribosomal RNA", at positions 524 to 776 of the family's 1533-position model. The record is from RNAcentral.